This is a long non-coding RNA of Oxyura jamaicensis (ruddy duck), 1123 nucleotides long. RefSeq lists it as uncharacterized. NCBI's taxonomy places the organism in Eukaryota, Metazoa, Chordata, Aves, Anseriformes, Anatidae. The transcript is spliced from 4 exons. The record is from RefSeq and is a predicted model, not a curated record.
CUCCCUCCCUCCUUGAGCGUCUGUUUAUCUUCCCUUCAAUUCAUGAUUGUUCUUUCCUUAGUGUAUUCUUUGGUGCUUUGUGUAGUACAAGGAGGCUCCUGCCAUUUCCUUUGGGAACACAAUCAGUACCCCAAUACUCAAUGUUAUAAACUACUAUGCUAUUAGGAAGGGUAACUUCAAUACUUAAAGGGUUCUUAUAAAAAGGAUGGAAGAGGACUCUUUACUCAGCCUGAAGGAUCCCAGUGCACUUAUGAAUACUUUAAUUCAUUACUGGAAUGAAUUCUCUUCCCAGUAAAUCAGGAGGAGGUCUCAUUCUGCAAGAGGAAGAAGACUAGGAUACUUCUUAAAUUAUACCAACCCAGGAGAGGAGAGGGGAGGGGAAGAGAGCCUUCCUGCUGCAGGAAGGAAGAAGGUUAAAGAAGCAAAAGGAGCACACUGAAACAAAUCUUGAUGUCUCAAGUACAGAGUUUCAUACAUGCUGUGUGUCUUAAUCAGACUGUGCCAGGAACAUAUUGCCUUAUAGAAUAUCAUAGUUUCUGUGACAUGUAGGUUCAGUAUUCUAAGACUGUAGAAUUUCUGAGAAUUAAGUCAAUAACACUCUUGGGUGAGAUGAACUUGUGUUACCUUGGUUAUCACAAAAAGAGUGUUCUGUCCUUCUGUCCGUUCAUAUAGAAAAUAUUUGAGUCUUGUAGAAUUUCCAAGGAUGAAAUACAGAUCAUUCCAGAAUGAGCAGAAACUGCUGAAAACAUCAGUUUGGAAAACAUUGUUCUACUUCUAAAACACUUAGAAACAAUUUAAAUGAUUAAUAGGUUUUAAAAAUAAAUUUCCUAUGGCUUUCAGAUAUUCCUUCUCCUUUGGCCCAUGUUAUAAAUUACUGUUGUUGUAUGAACACAAUCUUUAUUCCUUUGAAUGAAUAUAUAGAACUUUGUUCUACUCACAGCCUUUAGUAUUUUACAGAUAUUGUUAUGGAAAUGGCUUAUCAUUUUUCAAAAAUAAAAUUCUGCCUCCAGGGUGUUUAGUAUAACCUUUUUAAUCAUUAAAGUUGUAAAAUGUUUUAUUGAAAUAUUGGUGCUGCUUGAAACAGCAUAAGCUCCUAUUAGAAUAUCUAACUGGUUUGAGGCAA